CAACUUGAGAGUUUGAUCCUGGCUCAGAGCGAACGCUGGCGGCAGGCCUAACACAUGCAAGUCGAGCGCCGUAGCAAUACGGAGCGGCAGACGGGAGAGUAACACGUGGGAACGUGCCCUUCAGUUCGGAACAACCCAGGGAAACUUGGGCUAAUACCGGAUACGUCCGUAAGGAGAAAGAUUUAUCGCUGAAGGAUCGGCCCGCGUCUGAUUAGCUAGUUGGUGGGGUAAUGGCCCACCAAGGCGACGAUCAGUAGCUGGUCUGAGAGGAUGAUCAGCCUCACUGGGACUGAGACACGGCCCAGACUCCUACGGGAGGCAGCAGUGGGGAAUAUUGGACAAUGGGCGCAAGCCUGAUCCAGCCAUGCCGCGUGG
This 375-nucleotide ribosomal RNA is filed under the name Hyphomicrobiales bacterium. RNAcentral describes it as "bacterial SSU rRNA". It matches the Rfam family "Bacterial small subunit ribosomal RNA", at positions 1 to 404 of the family's 1533-position model. Lineage: Bacteria; Pseudomonadati; Pseudomonadota; Alphaproteobacteria; Hyphomicrobiales. The record is from RNAcentral.